UCUCUCUCUAACUUAGACUUUCGCUGAUCAUUCACCACUAUCUCUACAACACCGCAUCGGCAGCACCAUCGGGGUUUCUUUCCCUCUUACUGUCGCCUUCAAUCACUUGAAAAAUCCUUCUCUACACUUUGCCAUUUCAUAAUUCCUAACGUCACCACCAACAUACCGAUCGUUCCUAUUCCUAUCUGCCACCAACACCUUCGCCUCUGACAUGGUUGUAGAGUACUUGAGCCAAUUAAGGAACACUACCACGUCAUCUAUUAUGAUGAUUUCUAUCAGAAUUUACUGUAUGACUUGAUGUUCCCUUCAAUCCAGUUUACAGCAAACCCAAGUAGCAUCCAAUCAUUGUGUCGAGUUAUUGAUCUCCAAUGGAUGUUUCAGUGGAGAAAAUAGCCUUCUUUAUCAUCUUUUAUUAUAGUUAUUUCUACAUGAUUUUUUUGAUGGUUCACAAUUUUUUGGUUUUGGGAUAGCAAGGCUUAUGAGAGAUAAACAGAGAAAUGAGAUUGGGGGUCAUCUUUUCAAGACUAGAUGUCAUCUUUUCAAGAACACAAAACGAACAAAUUUACUAUUAAUGGUGUUUGACACACGUUGCAAUUAUAUUUUUUGCUCUUAGAAUAAUGGGUGCUCAUAAUGCAGGAAAAAUAACUUUCAUCAGAAUAAUCAUGAUAAGGUGGGUGGUUCAUUUUCAAAAUCGAUGGACACUAUUACGGAUAUGGAGAUCGUACUAAAGAGAUGAUGAUGGUUGACAAGUUUAUCAUGUAGCUCCAACUAGCAACUUUUCUCUUUACAUUCUCUUUUGGGACAAAACAACACUGUUUUGGGUUGCAAAUUAUGGAAAAAAUCUACAUGAACUUAUUGGCUUAGUUGGAUUGUGAGCUUGGGGAUGUUGGAUUUUUAGUAAAGAGUAUAAGGCAAUUGUGAAGGAAAUAUUGGUAGCUCCUUUCCCAGAUCUGCUUCACUUGCUUCAUUAUUCAUCAAACGAAUCAAUUAAUGACAAAAAAAAAGUUAAAUUAAAAUGCUAUUAAUGUAUGAAUAUGAGAUUUUUGGUCAUAGAAAAAUGUUACCUGAAGUGAGGAACAUAAUUGUUUUCAUAGUGAUUCACAUAACUUUGAAAGUUAAAGUUUUACUUAGAUAAUCAUUUUUCCUAAAGUUAUUGACAAUCACACAAUAUCAUAUACAACUGUAAGUUUACUUUUUCUUUUUAGUAAUACAUUUUUAAAACUCAUUUUAGAUCUA
This is a non-coding RNA of Lactuca sativa (garden lettuce), 1236 nucleotides long. Lineage: Eukaryota; Viridiplantae; Streptophyta; Magnoliopsida; Asterales; Asteraceae. The record is from RefSeq and is a predicted model, not a curated record.